GACGAACGCUGGCGGCGUGCUUAACACAUGCAUGUCGAACGGAAAGGCCCUGCUUUUGUGGGGUGCUCGAGUGGCGAACGGGUGAGUAACACGUGAGUAACCUGCCCUUGACUUUGGGAUAACUUCAGGAAACUGGGGCUAAUACCGGAUAGGAGCUCCUGCUGCAUGGUGGGGGUUGGAAAGUUUCGGCGGUUGGGGAUGGACUCGAGGCUUAUCAGCUUGUUGGUGGGGUAGUGGCUUACCAAGGCUUUGACGGGUAGCCGGCCUGAGAGGGUGACCGGCCACAUUGGGACUGAGGUACGGCCCAGACUCCUACGGGAGGCAGCAGUGGGGAAUAUUGCACAAUGGGCGGAAGCCUGAUGCAGCAACGCCGCGUGCGGGAUGACGGCCUUCGGGUUGUAAACCGCUUUCGCCUGUGACGAAGCGUGAGUGACGGUAAUGGGUAAAGAAGCACCGGCUAACUACGUG
Molecule: ribosomal RNA, 468 nt
Filed under: uncultured bacterium
Lineage: Bacteria
Description: partial 16S ribosomal RNA
Rfam family: Bacterial small subunit ribosomal RNA
Source: RNAcentral